This 1482-nucleotide ribosomal RNA is filed under the name metagenome. Its description in RNAcentral is "bacterial SSU rRNA". It matches the Rfam family "Bacterial small subunit ribosomal RNA". The record is from RNAcentral.
AGAGUUUGAUCCUGGCUCAGGAUGAACGCUAGCGGCAGGCUUAACACAUGCAAGUCGAGGGGCAGCACGAGUAGCAAUAUUUGGUGGCGACCGGCGCACGGGUGAGUAACGCGUAUGUAACCUACCUCUAACUGAGGAAUAGCUUUCGGAAACGGAAAUUAAUACCUCAUAACAUUCCUUUAUCGCAUGGUUUUGGAAUUAAAGCUCCGGCGGUUAGAGAUGGGCAUGCGUGACAUUAGCUAGUUGGUGAGGUAACGGCUCACCAAGGCUACGAUGUCUAGGGGGUCUGAGAGGAUGAUCCCCCACACUGGUACUGAGACACGGACCAGACUCCUACGGGAGGCAGCAGUGAGGAAUAUUGGGCAAUGGGCGCAAGCCUGACCCGGCCAUGCCGCGUGCAGGAUGACUGCCCUAUGGGUUGUAAACUGCUUUUGUACAGGAAGAAUCCACUUGAUGUAUCAGGUAUUGACUGUACUGUAUGAAUAAGCACCGGCUAACUCCGUGCCAGCAGCCGCGGUAAUACGGAGGGUGCAAGCGUUAUCCGGAUUUAUUGGGUUUAAAGGGUGCGUAGGCGGGGAAGUAAGUCAGUGGUGAAAUCUCACAGCUUAACUGUGAAAUUGCCAUUGAUACUGUUUCCCUUGAGUUCAGUUGAGGUGGGCGGAAUGUGUAGUGUAGCGGUGAAAUGCUUAGAUAUUACACAGAACACCAAUUGCGAAGGCAGCUCACUAAACUGUUACUGACGCUGAGGCACGAAAGCGUGGGGAUCGAACAGGAUUAGAUACCCUGGUAGUCCACGCUGUAAACGAUGAUCACUCGCUGUUGGCAAUACAUCGUCAGCGGCCAAGCGAAAGCAUUAAGUGAUCCACCUGGGGAGUACGUUCGCAAGAAUGAAACUCAAAGGAAUUGACGGGGGCCCGCACAAGCGGAGGAACAUGUGGUUUAAUUCGAUGAUACGCGAGGAACCUUACCUGGGCUUAAAUGUAGAAUGACCUCCCGAGAAAUCGGGAUUCCCUUCGGGGCAUUUUACAAGGUGCUGCAUGGUUGUCGUCAGCUCGUGCCGUGAGGUGUCGGGUUAAGUCCCAUAACGAGCGCAACCCCUAUCGUUAGUUGCCAGCGAGUCAAGUCGGGGACUCUAACGAAACUGCCGGUGUAGACCGUGAGGAAGGUGGGGAUGACGUCAAAUCAGCACGGCCCUUAUGUCCAGGGCUACACACGUGUUACAAUGGUCGGUACAAAGGGCAGCUACCUGGUGACAGGAUGCUAAUCUCUAAAACCGAUCUCAGUUCGGAUUGAAGUCUGCAACUCGACUUCAUGAAGUUGGAUUCGCUAGUAAUCGCGCAUCAGCCAUGGCGCGGUGAAUACGUUCCCGGGCCUUGUACACACCGCCCGUCAAGCCAUGGAAGCUGGGGGUACCUGAAGUCUGUAACCGCAAGGAGCGGCCUAAGGUAAAACUAGUGACUGGGGCUAAGUCGUAACAAGGUA